RNAcentral lists this ribosomal RNA (393 nucleotides) under Triticum aestivum (bread wheat). RNAcentral's name for it is "partial small subunit ribosomal RNA". Lineage: Eukaryota; Viridiplantae; Streptophyta; Magnoliopsida; Poales; Poaceae. The record is from RNAcentral.
UGGAGGAAUUACUGACCAGACGCUCAGCAGGGCCUUAUCUUUGUUGUUGACGGCAACGACAGAGAUCGUAUUGCUGAGGCGAGACCAGUGCUCCACAGAAUGCUGAAUGAGGAUGAGCUGCGCGAUGCUGUGUUGCUUGUUUUUGCUAACAAGCAAGAUCUUCUGAAUUCCAUGAGUGUUGCUGAAAUAAUAGAUAAGCUUGGCCUUUUGCCUUUGCGUCGGCGAUGCUGGAGAGUUUAUUUGUGUUCCGCUGCAACUGGGGAAGGCAUGUAUGAUGGGUUGGACUGGCUCAACAAGAGUUUAGCCUACAAGGUAAUUUGCAUUUUCACUCCUAAAUGGCAUUUAAGUACGAAUCAAGAUUUCCCUCUAAGUAGCAUAGCUUCAAUAUUUUGA